CGGGGUGUGGCGCAGCUUGGUAGCGCGCGUCGUUCGGGACGACGAGGUCGCAGGUUCAAAUCCUGUCACCCCGAC
RNAcentral lists this transfer RNA (75 nucleotides) under Curtobacterium herbarum. RNAcentral's name for it is "tRNA-Pro". It matches the Rfam family "tRNA". From Rfam's summary of the family: Transfer RNA (tRNA) molecules are approximately 80 nucleotides in length. Their secondary structure includes four short double-helical elements and three loops (D, anti-codon, and T loops). Further hydrogen bonds mediate the characteristic L-shaped molecular structure. tRNAs have two regions of fundamental functional importance: the anti-codon, which is responsible for specific mRNA codon recognition, and the 3' end, to which the tRNAs corresponding amino acid is attached (by aminoacyl-tRNA synthetases). tRNAs cope with the degeneracy of the genetic code in two manners: having more than one tRNA (with a specific anti-codon) for a particular amino acid; and 'wobble' base-pairing, i.e. permitting non-standard base-pairing at the 3rd anti-codon position. The record is from RNAcentral. Lineage: Bacteria; Bacillati; Actinomycetota; Actinomycetes; Micrococcales; Microbacteriaceae. RNAcentral also lists the same sequence under 14 other names.